AAAUUGAAGAGUUUGAUCAUGGCUCAGAUUGAACGCUGGCGGCAGGCCUAACACAUGCAAGUCGAACGGUAACAGGAAUCAGCUUGCUGAUUCGCUGACGAGUGGCGGACGGGUGAGUAAUGUCUGGGAAACUGCCUGAUGGAGGGGGAUAACUACUGGAAACGGUAGCUAAUACCGCAUAACGUCGCAAGACCAAAGAGGGGGACCUUCGGGCCUCUUGCCAUCAGAUGUGCCCAGAUGGGAUUAGCUAGUAGGUGGGGUAACGGCUCACCUAGGCGACGAUCCCUAGCUGGUCUGAGAGGAUGACCAGUCACACUGGAACUGAGACACGGUCCAGACUCCUACGGGAGGCAGCAGUGGGGAAUAUUGCACAAUGGGCGCAAGCCUGAUGCAGCCAUGCCGCGUGUAUGAAGAAGGCCUUCGGGUUGUAAAGUACUUUCAGCGGGGAGGAAGGGAGUAAAGUUAAUACCUUUGCUCAUUGACGUUACCCGCAGAAGAAGCACCGGCUAACUCCGUGCCAGCAGCCGCGGUAAUACGGAGGGUGCAAGCGUUAAUCGGAAUUACUGGGCGUAAAGCGCACGCAGGCGGUUUGUUAAGUCAGAUGUGAAAUCCCCGGGCUCAACCUGGGAACUGCAUCUGAUACUGGCAAGCUUGAGUCUCGUAGAGGGGGGUAGAAUUCCAGGUGUAGCGGUGAAAUGCGUAGAGAUCUGGAGGAAUACCGGUGGCGAAGGCGGCCCCCUGGACGAAGACUGACGCUCAGGUGCGAAAGCGUGGGGAGCAAACAGGAUUAGAUACCCUGGUAGUCCACGCCGUAAACGAUGUCGACUUGGAGGUUGUGCCCUUGAGGCGUGGCUUCCGGAGCUAACGCGUUAAGUCGACCGCCUGGGGAGUACGGCCGCAAGGUUAAAACUCAAAUGAAUUGACGGGGGCCCGCACAAGCGGUGGAGCAUGUGGUUUAAUUCGAUGCAACGCGAAGAACCUUACCUGGUCUUGACAUCCACGGAAGUUUUCAGAGAUGAGAAUGUGCCUUCGGGAACCGUGAGACAGGUGCUGCAUGGCUGUCGUCAGCUCGUGUUGUGAAAUGUUGGGUUAAGUCCCGCAACGAGCGCAACCCUUAUCCUUUGUUGCCAGCGGUCCGGCCGGGAACUCAAAGGAGACUGCCAGUGAUAAACUGGAGGAAGGUGGGGAUGACGUCAAGUCAUCAUGGCCCUUACGACCAGGGCUACACACGUGCUACAAUGGCGCAUACAAAGAGAAGCGACCUCGCGAGAGCAAGCGGACCUCAUAAAGUGCGUCGUAGUCCGGAUUGGAGUCUGCAACUCGACUCCAUGAAGUCGGAAUCGCUAGUAAUCGUGGAUCAGAAUGCCACGGUGAAUACGUUCCCGGGCCUUGUACACACCGCCCGUCACACCAUGGGAGUGGGUUGCAAAAGAAGUAGGUAGCUUAACCUUCGGGAGGGCGCUUACCACUUUGUGAUUCAUGACUGGGGUGAAGUCGUAACAAGGUAACCGUAGGGGAACCUGCGGUUGGAUCACCUCCUUA
Molecule: ribosomal RNA, 1542 nt
Filed under: Escherichia coli
Lineage: Bacteria; Pseudomonadati; Pseudomonadota; Gammaproteobacteria; Enterobacterales; Enterobacteriaceae
Description: bacterial SSU rRNA
Rfam family: Bacterial small subunit ribosomal RNA
Source: RNAcentral